Molecule: transfer RNA, 75 nt
Filed under: Bacillota bacterium
Lineage: Bacteria; Bacillati; Bacillota
Description: Firmicutes bacterium (anaerobic digester metagenome) tRNA-Val
Rfam family: tRNA
About the family: Transfer RNA (tRNA) molecules are approximately 80 nucleotides in length. Their secondary structure includes four short double-helical elements and three loops (D, anti-codon, and T loops). Further hydrogen bonds mediate the characteristic L-shaped molecular structure. tRNAs have two regions of fundamental functional importance: the anti-codon, which is responsible for specific mRNA codon recognition, and the 3' end, to which the tRNAs corresponding amino acid is attached (by aminoacyl-tRNA synthetases). tRNAs cope with the degeneracy of the genetic code in two manners: having more than one tRNA (with a specific anti-codon) for a particular amino acid; and 'wobble' base-pairing, i.e. permitting non-standard base-pairing at the 3rd anti-codon position.
Source: RNAcentral
GGGUCGCUAGCUCAGGGGGAGAGCACUACCUUGACACGGUAGGGGUCACAAGUUCAAAUCUUGUGCGACCCACCA